This 277-nucleotide long non-coding RNA is filed under the name Elaeis guineensis (African oil palm). RNAcentral's name for it is "long non-coding RNA (EGUI_LNC049883)". Lineage: Eukaryota; Viridiplantae; Streptophyta; Magnoliopsida; Arecales; Arecaceae. The record is from RNAcentral.
CUCCCUCCUUGGCGGCUCCAGCUGCAGCAGGGCCCUAGGCCGAUCUUUCCUACCUUCAAUUCGGCGUCGAAUGAAUCUGUCGAGCCGACCUCAUCUGAUGAGCUCCUCGAUCUCGUCUCAGAGCUGAAUACACUUCUCCGUGUCAUGGCCAUGGUCAUGAUGAUAGAGGCAGAAUUUGUUUGGGUUGUACUUCCUGAGAUGCGAGCGCAUCCUUUCCGGCCUUGGCAGCUGCUCCCUAACCUCCAUCAGCACUUGAGUUUUCAAUGUGUUGAGAGGG